Molecule: ribosomal RNA, 253 nt
Filed under: uncultured bacterium
Lineage: Bacteria
Description: partial 16S ribosomal RNA
Rfam family: Bacterial small subunit ribosomal RNA
Source: RNAcentral
UACGUAGGGUGCGAGCGUUAAUCGGAAUUACUGGGCGUAAAGCGUGCGCAGGCGGUUCGUUGUGUCUGAUGUGAAAGCCCCGGGCUUAACCUGGGAAUGGCAUUGGAAACUGGCGAGCUGGAGUGUGGCAGAGGGGGGUGGAAUUCCGCGUGUAGCAGUGAAAUGCGUAGAGAUGCGGAGGAACACCGAUGGCGAAGGCGGCCCUCUGGACGGUGACUGACGCUGAGACGCGAAAGCGUGGGGAGCAAACAGG